Molecule: ribosomal RNA, 422 nt
Filed under: uncultured prokaryote
Description: bacterial SSU rRNA
Rfam family: Bacterial small subunit ribosomal RNA
Source: RNAcentral
UGAGGAAUAUUGGUCAAUGGGCGAGAGCCUGAACCAGCCAUCCCGCGUGCAGGAAGAAGGCCCUAUGGGUUGUAAACUGCUUUUGCGCAUGAAGAACAUUCCGCUCGUGAGCGGGACUGACGGUAAUGCGUGAAUAAGCACCGGCUAACUCCGUGCCAGCAGCCGCGGUAAUACGGAGGGUGCAAGCGUUAUCCGGAUUUAUUGGGUUUAAAGGGUGCGUAGGCGGCCUUUUAAGUCAGUGGUGAAAACCUGCGGCUCAACCGUAGGCGUGCCAUUGAAACUGAAGGGCUUGAGUAACCAUGAGGCAGGCGGAAUGUGUAGUGUAGCGGUGAAAUGCUUAGAUAUUACACAGAACACCGAUUGCGUAGGCAGCUUGCUAAAGGUUCACUGACGCUGAUGCACGAAAGCGUGGGGAUCGAACA